GAGUUUGAUCUUGGCUCAGAUUGAACGCUGGCGGCAUGCCUUACACAUGCAAGUCGAACGGCAGCACGGGAGCUUGCUCCUGGUGGCGAGUGGCGAACGGGUGAGUAAUGCAUCGGAACGUAUCCUGGAGUGGGGGAUAACGUAGCGAAAGUUACGCUAAUACCGCAUAUUCUGUGAGCAGGAAAGCGGGGGACCUUCGGGCCUCGCGCUCUUGGAGCGGCCGAUGUCGGAUUAGCUAGUUGGUGAGGUAAAGGCUCACCAAGGCGACGAUCCGUAGCAGGUCUGAGAGGAUGAUCUGCCACACUGGAACUGAGACACGGUCCAGACUCCUACGGGAGGCAGCAGUGGGGAACUUUUGGACAAUGGGGGCAACCCUGAUCCAGCCAUGCCGCGUGAGUGAAGAAGGCCUC
This 410-nucleotide ribosomal RNA is filed under the name bacterium enrichment culture clone ALO1_GLFRUDD03G5QEM. RNAcentral describes it as "bacterial SSU rRNA". It matches the Rfam family "Bacterial small subunit ribosomal RNA", at positions 9 to 418 of the family's 1533-position model. The record is from RNAcentral.